GGGCCCGCACAAGCGGUGGAGCAUGUGGUUCAAUUCGACGCAACGCGAAGAACCUUACCCAGGCUUGAACAGCGAGUGACCAUCGACGAAAGUUGACUUCCGCAAGGACACUCGUAGAGGUGCUGCAUGGCUGUCGUCAGCUCGUGUCGUGAGAUGUUGGGUUAAGUCCCGCAACGAGCGCAACCCUUGUCUUCUGUUGCCAUCAGGUAAUGCUGGGCACUCUGGAGAGACUGCCGGUGAUAAACCGGAGGAAGGUGGGGAUGACGUCAAGUCAGCAUGGCCUUUAUGUCUGGGGCUACACACGUGCUACAAUGGCCGGCACAAACCGUCGCGAGCCCGCAAGGGGGAGCUAAUCGGAGAAAGUCGGUCUCAGUUCGGAUCGUCGGCUGCAACUCGCCGGCGUGAAGUUGGAAUCGCUAGUAAUCGCGGAUCAGCACGCCGCGGUGAAUACGUUCCCGGGCCUU
RNAcentral lists this ribosomal RNA (464 nucleotides) under uncultured bacterium. Its description in RNAcentral is "bacterial SSU rRNA". It matches the Rfam family "Bacterial small subunit ribosomal RNA", at positions 917 to 1382 of the family's 1533-position model. The record is from RNAcentral.